This 73-nucleotide transfer RNA is filed under the name Deltaproteobacteria bacterium. RNAcentral describes it as "tRNA-Ala". It matches the Rfam family "tRNA". Rfam says of the family: Transfer RNA (tRNA) molecules are approximately 80 nucleotides in length. Their secondary structure includes four short double-helical elements and three loops (D, anti-codon, and T loops). Lineage: Bacteria; Pseudomonadati; Myxococcota; Myxococcia. The record is from RNAcentral.
GGGGUCGUAGCUCAGAUGGGAGAGCGCCUCGAUGGCAUCGAGGAGGUCAGGGGUUCGAUUCCCCUCGACUCCA